CUAUACAUGCAAGUCGAGCGAGAAGACGUAGCAAUACGUUUGUAAAGCGGCGAACGGGUGAGGAAUGCAUGGGUAACCUACCCUCGAGUGGGGAAUAACUAGCCGAAAGGUUAGCUAAUACCGCAUACGAUUCCCGGACUGCGGUUCGGGAGGGAAAGCGAUACCGUGGGUAUCGCGCUCUUGGAUGGGCUCAUGUCCUAUCAGCUUGUUGGUGAGGUAAUGGCUCACCAAGGCUUCGACGGGUAGCUGGUCUGAGAGGACGAUCAGCCACACUGGCACUGCGACACGGGCCAGACUCCUACGGGAGGCAGCAGUAAGGAAUAUUGCGCAAUGGACGAAAGUCUGACGCAGCGACGCCGCGUGGGGGAUGAAGGUCUUCGGAUUGUAAACCCCUUUCGGCAGGGAAGAUGGAACGGGUAACCGUUCGGACGGUACCUGCAGAAGCAGCCACGGCUAACUUCGUGCCAGCAGCCGCGGUAAUACGAAGGUGGCAAGCGUUGUUCGGAUUCACUGGGCGUACAGGGAGCGUAGGCGGUUGGGUAAGCCCUCCGUGAAAUCUCCGGGCCUAACCCGGAAAGUGCAGAGGGGACUGCUCGGCUAGAGGAUGGGAGAGGAGCGCGGAAUUCCCGGUGUAGCGGUGAAAUGCGUAGAGAUCGGGAGGAAGGCCGGUGGCGAAGGCGGCGCUCUGGAACAUUUCUGACGCUGAGGCUCGAAAGCGUGGGGAGCAAACAGGAUUAGAUACCCUGGUAGUCCACGCCUUAAACUAUGGAUACUAAGUGUCGGCGGUUUACCGCCGGUGCCGCAGCUAACGCAGUAAGUAUCCCGCCUGGGAAGUACGGCCGCAAGGUUGAAACUCAAAGGAAUUGACGGGGGCCCGCACAAGCGGUGGAGCAUGUGGUUU
Molecule: ribosomal RNA, 901 nt
Filed under: uncultured bacterium
Lineage: Bacteria
Description: bacterial SSU rRNA
Rfam family: Bacterial small subunit ribosomal RNA
Source: RNAcentral